AUACGGAGGGUGCGAGCGUUAAUCGGAAUUACUGGGCGUAAAGCGCGCGUAGGCGGUUUGGUCAGUCGGAUGUGAAAGCCCCAGGCUCAACCUGGGAAUGGCAUUCGAUACUGCCUGACUAGAGUAUGGUAGAGGGAAGUGGAAUUUCCGGUGUAGCGGUGAAAUGCGUAGAUAUCGGAAGGAACACCAGUGGCGAAGGCGACUUCCUGGGCCAAUACUGACGCUAAGGUGCGAAAGCGUGGGGAGCAAACAGGAUUAGAAACCCUGGUAGUCC
This 274-nucleotide ribosomal RNA is filed under the name uncultured bacterium. Its description in RNAcentral is "partial 16S ribosomal RNA". It matches the Rfam family "Bacterial small subunit ribosomal RNA", at positions 523 to 796 of the family's 1533-position model. The record is from RNAcentral.